AACAACAACAACAACAACAACAACAACAACAACAACAACAACAGCAACAACAAUAACAACAACAACAACAACAACAACAACAACCACAACAACAACAACAACNNNNNNNNNNUGACAAGGACAACAACAACAGUAACAACAACAACAACAACAACAACAACAACAACAACAAUAACAACAACCACAACAACAACAACAACACAACGAUAACAAGAAAAACAACAACGACAACAACAACAACACAACAACAACAACAACAAAAACAACAACAAUAAUAACAACAACAAUAAUAACAAC
Molecule: long non-coding RNA, 297 nt
Filed under: Hordeum vulgare
Lineage: Eukaryota; Viridiplantae; Streptophyta; Magnoliopsida; Poales; Poaceae
Description: long non-coding RNA (HVUL_LNC009793)
Source: RNAcentral